GGGGGCGUAACUCAGAUGUUAGCGAACUCGCUUAGCAUGCGAGAGGUACGGAGAUCGAUACCCCGCGCCUCCA
RNAcentral lists this transfer RNA (73 nucleotides) under Trichonephila inaurata madagascariensis. Its description in RNAcentral is "tRNA-Ala". Lineage: Eukaryota; Metazoa; Arthropoda; Arachnida; Araneae; Nephilidae. The record is from RNAcentral.